UACAGCCAUAUCAUGUUCAAACACUGGACCUCGUAUGGUCACUGAAAUUAAGCAAUGUCGAGCCUGGUCAGUACCUAGAUGGGUGACCACUUCUGAAUACCAGGUGGU
Acanthosepion pharaonis is the source of this 108-nucleotide non-coding RNA. The record is from the annotation of a GenBank genome assembly. Lineage: Eukaryota; Metazoa; Mollusca; Cephalopoda; Sepiida; Sepiidae.